This 68-nucleotide transfer RNA is filed under the name Euretaster insignis. RNAcentral describes it as "tRNA-Arg". Lineage: Eukaryota; Metazoa; Echinodermata; Asteroidea; Velatida; Pterasteridae. The record is from RNAcentral.
AAAGGAUUAGUUUAAACAAAACACUUAACUUCGACUUAAAAAACUUUAGCAAACUCUAAAAUCCUUCA